CGACGGUCUUGCGGAAGGAACGGUAAACGCGCUCCUCCGCAGGACCUCUUCGCUUCCCGUAGAGGGCGGGGCUUCGGCCCGGGUCUUUUAAAGUAACGCGCCACGGGCCAGCCAGAUCCGAGAGCUGGGUCCCUGGAGACAUGACAGAGUUGCAGUCGGGACUGUGCGUUCUACGGUGUAACUGGGAGAGCUUCCGACAAGCCAGCCAUUUUACGAAGGGGAGAACUCAAUAGUUUUCAACCUCUCGUGCAACCCAGUGCUCUGCUUUCUCACCUGCCUGUUUUGGGGUGCCCUUUCCCGGUCUCCGAGGCUUAUGAUUGCUGAGCCUUCUGUUGGACUAUUGGGGUCAACCCUUGCCCUUCUCACGUCUUCAAUAGGAAUUUCCUCCAUGGCAGAGUGAGAACAUACAGUCGUAACUUGAAGCCACCUAGUUAGAGAAUACUUUCAUUUAUCAUACAAGAGGAAGUUACAUUUAUUGCAUACUUGUAGUCCAGCAGAACACAUUGCCUUAGUCUCAUUAAAUAAUUUCAUGAGUCAGGUAUUACCUCUUUUAUUACAGAUGAGGAAACUAGUUCAGCCUUAAAAAACUCUGUGAGAGCAAAGACCAAGUGGAAGUGUCCUCAUCAAGUCCACUGUGUUUCCUCAUAAAGUCCUCAGUCUGGCACUGAAUAUUUUUUAAAUAGUGAAAUGGUAAACCCACAAACAACUCGUGUGGGUUUACCCAAAGUCCAAGGUUAAUACAGGGUCCGUCAGAAGUAACGCCUACUUGAGUAUGGUUGGGAGGGUAAUAAGGCACAAUGUGAUAGGAUUAUGAUUUGAAUAAAUCCACACUGAGGAAUCAUUGGUACCUGAGCCACCGACCAGCACCCCAUUUGUGGCCUCACUUCGAAGGUGUGUGUGUCCAGAGUGAAUUCAAAAAGAAGGAGGCAGAAGUAUGCUUAAUCCAUUGCAAACAUGUAAACAUUUCUACACUGAAGAAGAACAAGGAGGAGGAGAAGGAGAGGAAGGGGAAGAAGGAAGAAGAUAGAAGAGAGAAGAAAAAGAAACUGCAGGCAAGGUGAUCUGACUUGUACCAGUAGCUCAUUUAGUGUUUAUAGGGACUUAGAAGAUCUUUUCCUUUAAGUGACCUGAUCCUCCUGUGGCUAUUUAUGCCGCUUCCCCAGAAGAGCUGGAGAACAUGUGGUGACUACAUCUGUGUUAAAACCCUUCACGUACUCUGAAAUUAUUUUUAGAUUCAGAAUACAUUUUUUUCAUGUGUAAGAUUUCCCAUAAUAUUAGACUCCUGAUUAAUCAUUUCUCUUGUAACAAACUAAUGUCACCAAUUAAUUAGAGCAUGAUGGUAGUUGUGAGUGAGCAAAAUAAAUUUGUCUAAAAUGAAUGAUGUAUUUUAAGGAAUUUAUUAAAAAGCUCUCCUGCCUGCUAAA
Long non-coding RNA from Artibeus jamaicensis (Jamaican fruit-eating bat), 1424 nucleotides. RefSeq lists it as uncharacterized. The transcript is spliced from 3 exons. NCBI's taxonomy places the organism in Eukaryota, Metazoa, Chordata, Mammalia, Chiroptera, Phyllostomidae. The record is from RefSeq and is a predicted model, not a curated record.